GAUGAACGCUGGCGGCGUGCUUAACACAUGCAAGUCGAACGAUGAAGCCCAGCUUGCUGGGUGGAUUAGUGGCGAACGGGUGAGUAACACGUGAGUAACCUGCCCUUAACUCUGGGAUAAGCCUGGGAAACUGGGUCUAAUACCGGAUAGGAGCGCCUACCGCAUGGUGGGUGUUGGAAAGAUUUAUCGGUUUUGGAUGGACUCGCGGCCUAUCAGCUUGUUGGUGAGGUAAUGGCUCACCAAGGCGACGACGGGUAGCCGGCCUGAGAGGGUGACCGGCCACACUGGGACUGAGACACGGCCCAGACUCCUACGGGAGGCAGCAGUGGGGAAUAUUGCACAAUGGGCGAAAGCCUGAUGCAGCGACGCCGCGUGAGGGAUGACGGCCUUCGGGUUGUAAACCUCUUUCAGUAGGGAAGAAGCGAAAGUGACGGUACCUGCAGAAGAAGCACCGGCUAACGACGUGC
Molecule: ribosomal RNA, 467 nt
Filed under: uncultured bacterium
Lineage: Bacteria
Description: partial 16S ribosomal RNA
Rfam family: Bacterial small subunit ribosomal RNA
Source: RNAcentral